GGCGGCGUAGCCAAGUGGUAAGGCAGUGGUCUGCAAAACCACAAUACACCGGUUCGAUUCCGGUCGCCGCCUCCA
This 75-nucleotide transfer RNA is filed under the name Candidatus Acetothermia bacterium. Its description in RNAcentral is "tRNA-Cys". It matches the Rfam family "tRNA". Rfam says of the family: Transfer RNA (tRNA) molecules are approximately 80 nucleotides in length. The record is from RNAcentral. Lineage: Bacteria; Candidatus Bipolaricaulota.